UGUGGCUCAGGGGUAGAGCAUUUGUCUAGCAUGCACAAGGUCCUGGGUUUGAUCCCCAGCA
Molecule: transfer RNA, 61 nt
Filed under: Neotoma lepida (desert woodrat)
Lineage: Eukaryota; Metazoa; Chordata; Mammalia; Rodentia; Cricetidae
Rfam family: tRNA
About the family: Transfer RNA (tRNA) molecules are approximately 80 nucleotides in length. Their secondary structure includes four short double-helical elements and three loops (D, anti-codon, and T loops). Further hydrogen bonds mediate the characteristic L-shaped molecular structure. tRNAs have two regions of fundamental functional importance: the anti-codon, which is responsible for specific mRNA codon recognition, and the 3' end, to which the tRNAs corresponding amino acid is attached (by aminoacyl-tRNA synthetases). tRNAs cope with the degeneracy of the genetic code in two manners: having more than one tRNA (with a specific anti-codon) for a particular amino acid; and 'wobble' base-pairing, i.e. permitting non-standard base-pairing at the 3rd anti-codon position.
Source: Rfam by way of RNAcentral